Molecule: ribosomal RNA, 254 nt
Filed under: uncultured bacterium
Lineage: Bacteria
Description: partial 16S ribosomal RNA
Rfam family: Bacterial small subunit ribosomal RNA
Source: RNAcentral
UACGGGGGGAGCAAGCGUUGUUCGGAUUUACUGGGCGUAAAGGGCGGGUAGGCGGCCACCGCAAGUCGACUGUGAAAUCUCCGGGCUUAACCCGGAAAGGUCAGCCGAUACUGCGGGGCUAGAGUGCAGAAGGGGCAACUGGAAUUCCCGGUGUAGCGGUGAAAUGCGUAGAUAUCGAGAGGAACACCUGCGGCGAAGGCGGGUUGCUGGGCUGACACUGACGCUGAACUGCGAAAGCUAGGGGAGCGAACGGG